AUGUCUCGCUCCAAGGUCGACCCCUCUGACGCCGGCUCCUUUGCCGGUGCCAUGUUCACCUCGGAUCGUCUCAAUGAGCUCCACAUCAAGGAUCAUGUGCACGUCAUCCUCGACCUCGACUCGCCGUCCUACAACGCAUGGCGCACGUACUUUGCGCUUUUGUUCCGCUCCUACCGUCUCAUCGAACACGUUGAUGGGAGCGUCGACUUCCGCGACAUGAAGGACGAUGACGAGUGGCUUGCCGUGGACGCCUGCAUCAUCAAGUGGCUCUUCCUCACCAUCUCUCCAGGCCUCUUCAACAUGGUGAACUCCCGUGAGCCCUCGGCGUACGCCAUGUGGACACGGCUGUGCGAUCUCUUCCUCGACAAUCAGCUCCAACGCUGUGUCUUUCUCCAAGGUGAAUUCUUCACUAUGCAGCAAAAUGAUCUUUCGAUCGAUGAAAUACUCCUCACCAACCUCCUUUGGGGCCUCCACCCCGACCUCGGCCAAUCCGCCGCCAACCUCUCCCUCGUCACGCCAACGUACGCGAAGGCGGUCACGUACCUUCGUAUGGAGGAGAAGCGCCUCCGCCACUCCGCCCGGCAGGCCACCCACGCUGCUCUUCACGUUGGCGUCGCCGCCGGCCACGGUGCUUCCCCAACUCAGCCGGGGCCGCGCGCGUCUGCUCCUGCCCCGCCACCCGCGCCUGCGGUUGUUCGCGGCUUUGCACAACAUGCCGGCGUUGAUUUCUCAGAGACCUUCUCUCCGGUUGUCAAACCCGCCACGAUUCGUGUUGUUCUUCAGCUCGCUGCAUCUCGUCAUUGGCCUGUUCAUCAGCUCGACAUCAACAACGCCUUUCUUUAUGGUCAUCUCCAGGAGCGUGUUCUCUGUCAGCAGCCUACUGGUUUUGUUGAUCCCACUCGGCCUGAUGAUGUCUGCUUGCUCUCACGGUCUCUAUAUGGUCUGAAACAGGCGCCUCGUGCUUGGUAUCAACGCAUUGCAGCAUUCCUCACUGCUCUUGGGUUUCGUAGCACCACCUCGGACACAUCGCCAUUUGUGCUUCAUCGAGCUGAUCAUGUCGCCAUGCUUCUCUUGUAUGUUGACGAUAUUGUCAUCACCGCCUCUCGCGCGGAUCUACUUCGCGACAUCAUCGGUCGUCUUGGUUCUGAGUUUCGGCUGAAGGACUUGGGCGCAUUGCACUUCUUCCUCGGCAUUAAUGUGCGACGUGAUGCCUCCGGAUUCUUUCUUCAUCAAGGACAAUAUGCUCUUGAUCUCCUGGAUCGUGCUGGUAUGACCGACUGCAAGCCUGCUGCCACUCUUGCCGAGGCCAAGCCGAAGCUUUCUGCUACUGCUGGGCAACCUGCCACUGAUGCCGCUCUCUACAGCAGUAUUGUUGGUGCUCUUCAGUACCUCGCGCUCACCAGACCAGACAUUCAGUUUGCGGUGCAGCAAGUUUGCUUGCAUAUGCACUCGCCCCGUGAUGUUCACUAG
Molecule: ribosomal RNA, 1470 nt
Filed under: Triticum aestivum (bread wheat)
Lineage: Eukaryota; Viridiplantae; Streptophyta; Magnoliopsida; Poales; Poaceae
Description: partial small subunit ribosomal RNA
Source: RNAcentral